GAAAUAUGUAAUCAAGAAUAAGCUUCUAACUUAAUUCUUAAGCGUUAAAUCGUUUAUAUUUCU
RNAcentral lists this transfer RNA (63 nucleotides) under Trichochrysea japana. RNAcentral describes it as "tRNA-Ser". The record is from RNAcentral. Lineage: Eukaryota; Metazoa; Arthropoda; Insecta; Coleoptera; Chrysomelidae.